UAGGCAUUCCAUGUUUUCCUUUCAGUCUGUUUUAGUCACAUGAUACACACAGGAGUUACAACUGGAUUGCAUAACCAUUGUUUUUGAUGAGUUUUGAUGGUCUAAUAAUUUUUUGCGCAACUGUAGUGAAGAUAGCGGAUGAAUAUGAAUGAAUUUACAUCUCAACAACAAACAAAAAAAUAAGCAAAAUAAUCAACAUAAUGAAGAAACAAAUAACAAAAUGGACAAAAAUAGCAAUAAAAAACAAAAUUGAUUGGGACGAUGAUAAAUAAUCGACGAAAUGAACAGAAUAAUCAACGAUGAGGACAAUAAUGAACCAAAAAUGAGCAAAAUAACCAACGAAAUGAACAAAAAUUGACUAAAUAAUCAAUAAAAUAAACGAAUAUUCCAAACAAAGGGAAAGGGUGAGGAAAAAAAUCCAAAAGUUUACAAAAAUGAACUGGAAAAUGGACAAAAUAAUGAGUAAAUCUAAAGAAAAUAGUCACCAAAAUGGACAAAUAUGAUGGAAAAAAAAUUAAAAGGUUGCAGGAUAAAAGUCAGAAGGUUGACUAUUUUCUUUAGAUUUUUUCAUUUUCAUUAUUUUACCCAUUUUCAGUUAAUUUUUGUCCACUUUUUUGGAUUAUUUUCCUCAUCCUUUCCCUUUGUUUGGAAUAUUUUAAUUUUAUUGUUUAUUUAUCCAAUUUUUGUCCAUGUUGUUGGGUGUUUAGUCAUUUUUGUUGGUUUUUUUUGUGCAUUUUUGGUUCAGUAUUGUACUUAUUGUUGAUCAUUCUGCACAUUUCUGUUCAUUUUGUAGAUUGUUUAUGGGUUGAGGAGGCGAUAACGAUAACAAAUCAGAAGAAACGACAGUAAACAGAGUCGUCCAUGGAUCAGAUUUAUUUGUCCACCAUUUUACUGCUUCCAAAACAUCGGCUUUGACGUCUAAAUGUUCAUUCGCUGCCUCAUAAAUCCAACCCAGUGAAAGGAACCAUUGUAAUUAAAUCGUAUUAUUACCAUUUCUCCUGUCUUGGGUCUGAAUAUUAUGGCUGAUUGGUGUCAGUCAACAUGGUCGCAUUAAACCGGUCUCAGUAAUCCAGUCCCAGACAACAGGAAAAUGCAUAAAUUUUAAUGUCAUAAUUUCUAUUAAGGACAAUGCAUAAUCAAACACAUGGUCAGGUGCAGUAUGAACAAACUCUUUCUGCUUUUAAUACUAUCUCAACUCACAAACAUUGAAAAUUAAUCUGGAUGAUGCUUAUUUAUGGUUUGUAAACUCUUAUUUAUGGUUACAAUAGGACAAAAACAGCAGAACAUUUCACAAAUGUGGAGGUAGAACUAUUAAGAUAUAGAGCAGGGUAAAAUUAAGUGAAGCAGCAAAGUAUUGAAAAAAAUGUUUGUUUUUAAUUGUUUAUUCUAACAAAAUGAACCCUAAGGACAAAAGAAGACUGUAUAUUCUAAUAGACAAUAAAUAUCAUUGAAUAAUGACAAUGCAGCUCUUGUACAAUAACAAUGAGGAAUAAAAUCACAUUAUAGGGUGAGGACUUAAUAAAUCAUAAACUCAGUCUGAACACACAUUGAAUCCACAGUUAAAUUUCCUGAAUCAGAAACAUUAGAAGGGAGAAAUAACAGAAUCCAGUCAUAAUCAGUUCACAUAAACCUGCACAUAUACUAUAAACCACAUAUACCUCAGUCAGUACCACUGUUAACUCUGUACUGGAACCAUGACAUGGACCACUGUAACUCUGAUUCCUGUGUUUGUGACAAUAGAUAAUGUUAAAGCCAGAGUUUCUGAUCCGUGUCUGUCACUGUUUUCCUGAGUGGCUGUGGACAUCUGCGUCACCAGUAUACAGUGGGUUAUUAAAACACACUACAGAUCCAGACCAACUCUGAAUACAAGCCUAUCUAUGCACAAAUGUGCUUUUAAAGGUUCAACAAGCUUUUAAAGACAACAAUGUAGCUUCUGGUUUUUUUGUUUGUUUGUUUCCUAAUUUAUUGUUAAAUUGUGCUUAAUUGGAGCGUUUGUCUGUAAUAAAUAACACUUAGCAUCUCA
Long non-coding RNA from Sphaeramia orbicularis (orbiculate cardinalfish), 2023 nucleotides. RefSeq lists it as uncharacterized. NCBI's taxonomy places the organism in Eukaryota, Metazoa, Chordata, Actinopteri, Kurtiformes, Apogonidae. The record is from RefSeq and is a predicted model, not a curated record. The transcript has 2 exons.